CAGCCGCCGCGGUAAUACGUAGGGUCCGAGCGUUGUCCGGAAUUAUUGGGCGUAAAGAGCUCGUAGGCGGUCUGUCGCGUCUGCCGUGAAAUCCUCAGGCUCAACCUGAGGCGUGCGGUGGGUACGGGCAGGCUAGAGUGCGGUAGGGGAGAAUGGAACUCCUGGUGUAGCGGUGGAAUGCGCAGAUAUCAGGAAGAACACCGAUGGCGAAGGCAGUUCUCUGGGCCGUAACUGACGCUGAGGAGCGAAAGCGUGGGGAGCGAACAGGAUUAGAUACCCCGGUAGUCCCUGUCUCUUAUAC
RNAcentral lists this ribosomal RNA (301 nucleotides) under uncultured bacterium. RNAcentral describes it as "partial 16S ribosomal RNA". It matches the Rfam family "Bacterial small subunit ribosomal RNA", at positions 509 to 807 of the family's 1533-position model. The record is from RNAcentral.